This 456-nucleotide ribosomal RNA is filed under the name uncultured bacterium. RNAcentral's name for it is "bacterial SSU rRNA". It matches the Rfam family "Bacterial small subunit ribosomal RNA", at positions 335 to 784 of the family's 1533-position model. The record is from RNAcentral.
ACUCCUACGGGAGGCAGCAGUGGGGAAUAUUGCACAAUGGGGGAAACCCUGAUGCAGCCAUGCCGCGUGUGUGAAGAAGGCCUUGGGUUGUAAAGCACUUUCAGUAGGGAGGAAGGUAGUGUAGUUAACACCUGCAUUAUUUGACGUUACCUACAGAAGAAGCACCGGCUAACUCCGUGCCAGCAGCCGCGGUAAUACGGAGGGUGCGAGCGUUAAUCGGAAUUACUGGGCGUAAAGCGCAUGCAGGCGGCCUGUUAAGUCAGAUGUGAAAGCCCGGGGCUUAACCUCGGAAUUGCAUUUGAAACUGGCAGGCUAGAGUCUUGUAGAGGGGUUAGAAUUUCAGGUGUAGCGGUGAAAUGCGUAGAGAUCUGAAGGAAUACCGAGUGGCGAACGGCGGCCCCCUGGACAAAGACUGACGCUCAGAUGCGAAAGCGUGGGAGCAAACAGGAUUAGAUA